This 481-nucleotide ribosomal RNA is filed under the name uncultured bacterium. Its description in RNAcentral is "partial 16S ribosomal RNA". It matches the Rfam family "Bacterial small subunit ribosomal RNA", at positions 30 to 506 of the family's 1533-position model. The record is from RNAcentral.
AUUGAACGCUGGCGGCAUGCCUUACACAUGCAAGUCGAACGGUAACAGGUCUUCGGAUGCUGACGAGUGGCGCACGGGUGAGUAAUACAUCGGAACGUGCCCGAUCGUGGGGGAUAACGGAGCGAAAGCUUUGCUAAUACCGCAUACGAUCUACGGAUGAAAGCAGGGGACCGCAAGGCCUUGCGCGGACGGAGCGGCCGAUGGCAGAUUAGGUAGUUGGUGGGAUAAAAGCUUACCAAGCCGACGAUCUGUAGCUGGUCUGAGAGGACGACCAGCCACACUGGGACUGAGACACGGCCCAGACUCCUACGGGAGGCAGCAGUGGGGAAUUUUGGACAAUGGGCGAAAGCCUGAUCCAGCCAUGCCGCGUGCAGGAUGAAGGCCUUCGGGUUGUAAACUGCUUUUGUACGGAACGAAAAGACACUUUCUAAUAAAGAGGGUCCAUGACGGUACCGUAAGAAUAAGCACCGGCUAACUACGU